AGAAGUCAUUUUGAAACUGGCAUCCUUGAGUUAUUGUGAUUUUUUAAGAGAGAACACUAUGAAAAGGAAUUGGGAGAGACGCUAGGGCGCAGUCUCUACAUCCUGAUGCCUCCGCAGCACUGCUGGGAACUCAGGGGAGACUGUGCCAGGCUCUAGAAAUCCAGAAGAUCUCACCAUGUUAUACAGGGAUUUGUUUAUUUAGAAUCUGGAUAUCAUAGUCAUCACAAGUGAAGAUCUGUGAAGAGCAGUUAAGUGUCCCAAGUCAUACCAGUGCAAGAGCAUCAUCAGUGAAGACCAGCAAAGCAUUGCAAGGUGAGCCAAUGCAAGAGCAGCAUUCACUGUCUGUUGGGUUCUACUUAUAGUUUUUCCAAACAUCACACAUCCUCUCAAGUGUCUGCCUCAGAAAAACAUCCUCUCAUCAGCAUAACAUCCUCUUAUAAGACAGGUUCCAGAAAGAACAUCAUGGGACACAACUGAGUCUUCAAAGAAACCAGAAAUUUCCCCUUCAGCUCACCUUGGAAAAGAAUCUUGGUGAGGAGUUGUCUACAUCAGGCUGGCUGUGAUAAACAAGGAAACAUGUAUACAUUCAUGUAUACAUUCUACCUGCUCUUGACUAUGGAUGCAAUGUGAUUCAUCUACUACAAACUCUUGCUUUGACUUUUCCACAAUGAUUUACUGUAUCCUAGAUACAUAAGCUGAAAUAACAGCCAACCUGCUUUCCAUGAGAUAUUUGAUCAUAGCAAUAAAUGACACUAGAACAUCUCAGUGUUUUGCCCCUUAUUAUUAAAUUGUUCAUUUUAUUACAUUGUCAAUUCUUAACAAUUGUCAAAUUGUUAAAUUGCUCAAUUGUUAAAGAAAAUGACUAAAA
This 868-nucleotide long non-coding RNA is filed under the name Mus pahari (shrew mouse). RNAcentral's name for it is "expressed sequence AU015336 (MGP_PahariEiJ_G0032889.1)". The record is from RNAcentral. Lineage: Eukaryota; Metazoa; Chordata; Mammalia; Rodentia; Muridae.